GGCCUCGUAGCUCAGCUGGUUGAGCAUGCGCGUACAAAGCGUAGGCGGCGUCCAUGCGUGGGUUCCAAUCCCACCGAGGCUA
RNAcentral lists this transfer RNA (82 nucleotides) under Echinostoma caproni. It matches the Rfam family "tRNA". Rfam says of the family: Transfer RNA (tRNA) molecules are approximately 80 nucleotides in length. Lineage: Eukaryota; Metazoa; Platyhelminthes; Trematoda; Plagiorchiida; Echinostomatidae. The record is from Rfam by way of RNAcentral.